RNAcentral lists this ribosomal RNA (776 nucleotides) under uncultured organism. RNAcentral's name for it is "bacterial SSU rRNA". It matches the Rfam family "Bacterial small subunit ribosomal RNA", at positions 25 to 845 of the family's 1533-position model. The record is from RNAcentral.
CAGGAUGAACGCUGGCGGUCUGCUUACACAUGCAAGUCGAACGGGCUCUUCGGAGCUAGUGGCGGACGGGUGAGUAACGCGUGAGAAUCUGCCUUCAGGAGGGGGAUAACGACUGGAAACGGUCGCUAAUACCCCAUAUGCCUCUGGGUGAAAAGUAAUUCGCCUGAAGAUGAGCUCGCGUCAGAUUAGCUAGUUGGUGGGGUAAGAGCCUACCAAGGCGACGAUCUGUAGCUGGUCUGAGAGGAUGAUCAGCCACACUGGGACUGAGACACGGCCCAGACUCCUACGGGAGGCAGCAGUGGGGAAUUUUCCGCAAUGGGCGCAAGCCUGACGGAGCAAGACCGCGUGGGGGAUGACGGCCUAAUGGUUGUAAACCCCUUUUCUCUGGGAAGAAGACUGACGGUACCAGAGGAAUCAGCCUCGGCUAACUCCGUGCCAGCAGCCGCGGUAAUACGGAGGAGGCAAGCGUUAUCCGGAAUUAUUGGGCGUAAAGCGUCCGUAGGUGGUUAUUCAAGUCUGCUGUCAAAGCGUGGGGCUUAACUCCAUAGAGGCAGUGGAAACUGAGUGACUAGAGUGCGGUAGGGGUCGAGGGAAUUCCCAGUGUAGCGGUGAAAUGCGUAGAUAUUGGGAAGAACACCAGUGGCGAAAGCGCUCGACUGGGCCUGCACUGACACUGAGGGACGAAAGCUAGGGGAGCGAAAGGGAUUAGAUACCCCUGUAGUCCUAGCCGUAAACGAUGGAUAACUAGGUGUUGCUCGUCAUCGACCCGAGCAGUG